UCAGCUGCCAUGUUGUGAGAAUACUCAGGCAGCCUAGAGAGAGAUUAAUGUGGUGAGACUGAGGCUGGUUGCCAAUAUCCAUGUGUAUGAUGAAACUGACCAAGGAGUAAAUGACUUGGCUGAAGUGAAAUAGUGAUGGAAGUAAGAGUGUGUUGAAGGCUUGCAACCUCCAAGGUACUUGGCAUUCAAUGUUCCAUAAGAAGUUAAGAUGUAUGUGUUGUUGUUCUCACCCAGAAAAAAAUCUUUCAGAAUACAAGAAGAAAUCAGCAGUCUGCAACUUGGAAGAGGGCCCUGACCAAACUCAGUGAUGCUGGCACCCUAAUCUUGGACUUCCAGCCUCCAGAUGUGUGAAAAAUAAAUUUGUUUUUACAAACUA
Molecule: long non-coding RNA, 376 nt
Organism: Suricata suricatta (meerkat)
Lineage: Eukaryota; Metazoa; Chordata; Mammalia; Carnivora; Herpestidae
Exons: 5
Source: RefSeq, a predicted model, not a curated record